Oncorhynchus mykiss (rainbow trout) is the source of this 1404-nucleotide long non-coding RNA. RefSeq lists it as uncharacterized. The record is from RefSeq and is a predicted model, not a curated record. NCBI's taxonomy places the organism in Eukaryota, Metazoa, Chordata, Actinopteri, Salmoniformes, Salmonidae.
UAUCUGCUCCAAUAGAGAGACGAGUUCCUGAAACUCCACCUCUAAGGUUAUCCGAAUACGUAAUUGGGUGUGCUUUUGUGUAACUGGUUUGGUAACAGGUUUGGUAACAGCAGAUCGACUGUACUACUAAAAGAAAUCCCUCUAUCUGGCGACAAAAACAUCAAUUUUCUGAGGAGAAAGAAGAACACUCUCGCGCCAUGGUCUGACUGCUGAUCAAAGCCAGCAUCUGGACGGUGAGGAAGAUUCGGGCCCACAUUGCUGAGGGAGAGCAAGAGGAGAAGCCCAUCUUCACACCAUGUGGUGUUAUUGGCUUUAAGAAGGAGCAGUUGACAUCAGGUUCUGAUCCACCGGCGGCCGUAAUGACCCCUGAACCUGAUGAUGGUAUCGCCAACGGCGGCCCGGCGUCGUCAGAGACAGCCGUGCAGAAGUGCGGAUCCUGAGGUUAAAGGUCACACUGGAUAACUGGCUGGGACCAAUAACUUAUUAUUAAGCAUGUCUUGAAAAGGAUGCAUUCACAGAACUGUAUGUUGAGACGCAGUCGCCUUGUUCCUCGCUCCCCGACAACUUUGCAGUAUUUAGAUUUGUUUGUGUUAUUUCUUACCUUGUUUGCUCAGAACAUUUCUAGUAUUGUUACUUACACCCAGAAAAAAACUUUUGUACGUUAAUCAGGGAAAUUCUACAUUCGCAUACAUUAUUCUGAUACGUCUUAAUUUCUUCUUCAAAAGUUUGGAUUAUGUAUUGUAUUACUAGAUAUAACUGCAUUGUUGGAGCUAGAAACAUAAGAAUUUUGCUGCACCUGCAAAUCUGUACGCAACCAAUAAACUUUGAUCACUUUUUUGUAUAGCCCAACAUGCUCUUACUUAACUUUGCUGACCUUAAUCAAAGCAUUCCCAUAGAAAAUGUCACUACGACCAUAAUGAUGACUAGUUUUGAGACCAAAUUAUGACAUAAGUCAUUCCAUUUAAUUUACGUUGUGUAGGUUUCUGAACCCAAGAAUGCUAAUACGAUAUCGCAAUAAAAAGUUGAUUAUUUACUGAUCUAUAGAAGAUAUUCUUUAACAGCCCUCCAACUGAAAAAUGUUUAUGUUGUCAUGCCCUUGCUGUCCCAGUCUCUGUCCAGUGUGCCCAUACUCAGUGGACCAAAUACUAAGCUGAGAUACUUGCUGUAAUUCCAACUUUCGGUCACUAAGUCAGUGUGAAGAUUGUGUGAAGUUAUGACAUUUUCAUAUACACUGAUCUCAGGUUAAUAUUGGGUCCAGUGAGCUCUGUUUAACCUCUGACACCAGAUGACCCUUUAUGGCUGCAGCGUGUGACGACCUGCUCACCAACCCCUCCACCCAGGGACUGAGCUGUUCUGAUGCCCCUGCUGCAGCUUCCCUAAUAAAAACUUGAAAACUAUCUGGUC